CCGCCGCGCGCGGCGGGCCUACGGGAGGCAGCAGUGGGGAAUAUUGCACAAUGGGCGCAAGCCUGAUGCAGCCAUGCCGCGUGUAUGAAGAAGGCCUUCGGGUUGUAAAGUACUUUCAGCGGGGAGGAAGGCGUUGAGGUUAAUAACCUCGAGCGAUUGACGUUACCCGCAGAAGAAGCACCGGCUAACUCCGUGCCAGCAGCCGCGGUAAUA
This 213-nucleotide ribosomal RNA is filed under the name uncultured Citrobacter sp. RNAcentral's name for it is "partial 16S ribosomal RNA". It matches the Rfam family "Bacterial small subunit ribosomal RNA", at positions 312 to 525 of the family's 1533-position model. Lineage: Bacteria; Pseudomonadati; Pseudomonadota; Gammaproteobacteria; Enterobacterales; Enterobacteriaceae. The record is from RNAcentral.